RNAcentral lists this ribosomal RNA (251 nucleotides) under uncultured prokaryote. Its description in RNAcentral is "partial 16S rRNA". It matches the Rfam family "Bacterial small subunit ribosomal RNA", at positions 525 to 776 of the family's 1533-position model. The record is from RNAcentral.
ACGUAGGUGGCGAGCGUUGUCCGGAUUUACUGGGCGUAAAGGAUGCGUAGGUGGAAACUUAAGUGGGAUGUGAAAUCCCCGGGCUCAACCCGGGAACUGCAUUCCAAACUGGGUAUCUAGAGUGCAGGAGAGGAAAGCGGAAUUCCUAGUGGAGUGGUGAUUAGCGUGGAUAUGAGCAUGAGCCACGAAUGCGGAGGGAGCAUGCUGGACUGUACCGGAUUCUCAGCCAUGUUAGCGUGGUGUCAAAUGAG